Molecule: ribosomal RNA, 263 nt
Filed under: uncultured Mogibacterium sp.
Lineage: Bacteria; Bacillati; Bacillota; Clostridia; Peptostreptococcales; Anaerovoracaceae
Description: partial 16S ribosomal RNA
Rfam family: Bacterial small subunit ribosomal RNA
Source: RNAcentral
AGCUUGCUCUUCAGAGUUAGUGGCGGACGGGUGAGUAACGCGUAGGCAACCUGCCCCUGACAGAGGGAUAGCCAUUGGAAACGAUGAUUAAAACCUCAUAAUGCCGAAGGAACACAUGUUUCAUCGGCCAAAGAUUUAUCGGUCAGGGAUGGGCCUGCGUCUGAUUAACUAGUUGGUGAGGUAACGGCUCACCAAGGUGACGAUCAGUAGCCGACCUGAGAGGGUGAUCGGCCACAUUGGAACUGAGACACGGUCCAAACUUC